This 253-nucleotide ribosomal RNA is filed under the name uncultured bacterium. RNAcentral describes it as "partial 16S ribosomal RNA". It matches the Rfam family "Bacterial small subunit ribosomal RNA", at positions 524 to 776 of the family's 1533-position model. The record is from RNAcentral.
UACGAAGGGGGCUAGCGUUGUUCGGAAUUACUGGGCGUAAAGCGCGCGCAGGCGGCCUUUCAAGUCAGUGGUGAAAGCCCGGAGCUCAACUCCGGAACUGCCAUUGAAACUGUUUGGCUUGAGUACGAGAGAGGUGAGUGGAAUUCCCAGUGUAGAGGUGAAAUUCGUAGAUAUUGGGAAGAACACCGGUGGCGAAGGCGGCUCACUGGCUCGUAACUGACGCUCAGGCGCGACAGCGUGGGGAUCAAACAGG